UUUGGGACUACGGGACAGUUUUUCGGGAGAUCCCACUAUACUUGGUAUGUUUUGGAUUGAGAGCGCGGGAUACCAAGAGAUCCUCGGUACCUGUAUAUCUAUUUAUAUUAAGAUACCAAGAGAUCCCCAGCGUAUAUGAUGACGAUACCAAGAGAUUCUCGAGAUACCAAGGUAACCCUGUUGUGGAUGAUGAGGAUAUCAAGAGAUCCUCGGGAUACCAAGAGAUCCCUGGCUAUUAUUCCUUGUUGAGAACAAUAUUCGUUGUAUUGUUACCUUUGUUUUCUAUUACUAUUUCCGUAUUUAUCUGCUUUAGAAUCUCGCUGUAGACUUCAUUUAAACUUUUUCCAUUGUCUUAUUUUUUUUUUAUCUCAGUAGGGCCCUGACUUUCCUCGUCACUACCCGACCGAGAUUAGGCUUGGCACUUACUGAGUAUCGUUGUGGUGUACUUACGCCUCUUCUGCAAAUGUUUUUCAUGUGCAGAUCCAGGUACCUCUACUCAGGCGCACUAUCGGUGAGUAUCACACCUCCUCUUUCACCACACCCGUAAGGGUGUAAAGGAGUUUUUCUAAUUAAAAGACAAUCGAAACGGGAUUCGUUAUUAAAAAUUC
RNAcentral lists this long non-coding RNA (608 nucleotides) under Nicotiana benthamiana. RNAcentral describes it as "long non-coding RNA (NBEN_LNC020459)". The record is from RNAcentral. Lineage: Eukaryota; Viridiplantae; Streptophyta; Magnoliopsida; Solanales; Solanaceae.